Molecule: ribosomal RNA, 353 nt
Filed under: Eukaryota sp.
Lineage: Eukaryota
Description: SSU rRNA
Rfam family: Eukaryotic small subunit ribosomal RNA
Source: RNAcentral
UUCGUUAACGAACGAGACCUUAACCUACUAACUAGCCCGGCUAGCUUUGGCUGGUCGCCGGCUUCUUAGAGGGACUAUCGACGUAAGUCGAUGGAAGUUUGAGGCAAUAACAGGUCUGUGAUGCCCUUAGAUGUUCUGGGCCGCACGCGCGCUACACUGACAGAGCCAACGAGUUUACAACCUUGACUGAGAGGUCUGGGUAAUCUUCGCAACAUGCAUCGUGCUGGGGAUAGAUUAUUGUAAUUAUUAAUCUUCAACGAGGAAUUCCUAGUAAACGCAAGUCAUCAACUUGCAUUGAUUACGUCCCUGCCCUUUGUACACACCGCCCGUCGCUAAUACCGAUUGAAUGGAUG